RNAcentral lists this ribosomal RNA (990 nucleotides) under uncultured bacterium. RNAcentral describes it as "bacterial SSU rRNA". It matches the Rfam family "Bacterial small subunit ribosomal RNA", at positions 8 to 988 of the family's 1533-position model. The record is from RNAcentral.
AGAGUUUGAUCAUGGCUCAGAGUGAACGCUGGCGGCGUGCUUAACACAUGCAAGUCGAGCGAAUUUUGGCAGUGUAUCGCCAGAGUUAGCGGCAGACGGGUGAGUAAUACUUGGGUAAUCUACCCUUGAGUGGGAAACAACCUGCCGAAAGGUGGGCUAAUGUCCCAUAAGACCACAGGAUGGCAUCAUCCAGGGGUCAAAGGUCCGCAAGGGCCGCUUGAGGAGGAACCCGAGUCCUAUCAUGGUAGUUGGUGAGGUAACGGCUCACCAAGCCUUUGACGGGUAGCCGGCCUGAAAGGGUGAUCGGCCACACUGGCACUGAGACACGGGCCAGACUCCUACGGGAGGCAGCAGUGGGGAAUUUUGGACAAUGGGGGCAACCCUGAUCCAGCGACGCCGCGUGGAGGACGAAGGUCUUCGGAUUGUAAACUCCUUUUGGAGGGGAUGAAUGCCUGAGUGAAUAACUCAGGGUGACAGUACCCUCGGAAUAAGCCACGGCUAACUACGUGCCAGCAGCCGCGGUAAUACGUAGGUGGCAAGCGUUACUCGGAAUCACUAGGCGUAAAGCGCAGGUAGGCGGUUCGGUAAGUCUCUUGUGAAAGCUCCUGGCUCAACUGGGAGAGGUCAAGGGAAACUACCGGGCUAGAGUGUGGUAGGGGAUACUGGAAUUCCCGGUGUAGCGGUGAAAUGCGUAGAUAUCGGGAGGAAUACCUAUGGCGAAAGCAGGUAUCUGGGCCAUCACUGACGCUGAGCUGCGAAAGCUAGGGGAGCAAACAGGAUUAGAUACCCUGGUAGUCCUAGCCCUAAACGAUGCUCAUUAGAUGUGGGAGGUAUCGACCCCUUCCGCGUCGCAGCUAACGCAUUAAAUGAGCCGCCUGGGGAGUACGGCCGCAAGGUUGAAGCUCAAGGAAUUGACGGGGGCCCGCACAAGCGGUGGAACAUGUGGUUUAAUUCGACGCAACGCGAAGAACCUUACCUGGGCUUGAACUA